AAGAAAAGACACCAGAGCACACUCUUUCUCCCUCUAUCAUGUGAGGACCCGGUGAGAAGGCAGCAGUCUCCAUCUAGGAAGGGAGCCCUCCUCCAGAACUGAGUCAGUGGACACCUUGAUCUUGGACUUCCCAGCCUUCAUACCUGGUUCCUCCAGAAGAAAAGUAUCACAAAUAAAUAGGAUGAUUAUCUAAAGUGAUGGAUCUACUUUUGAACACAAAAAUGCAACUAUGGAUACCAAGACAGAUCUGUGAUUGGCUUCCCUAGCUGACUUCUAGUUGAAGAAAUGCUAAAUUAGUUAAGGAAACAGUGCUCAUGCUUCCAUUUUUGGGAAGUCACACCAAAGAAGUGACAGGGGUAAGUUAUAGCAGGAGAUCAAAUAGAGCCUUGCAAAGAAAUAUCAAAAUGGUUUCUUGCUGCUAAGGGAAAGAAGAAAACACUUCUUUAAGAAAAAGAGGUAGUGUUAUGAAACCAAUGUGAGUCUUUUUCAGUA
Homo sapiens (human) is the source of this 492-nucleotide long non-coding RNA. RefSeq lists it as uncharacterized. The record is from RefSeq and is a predicted model, not a curated record. NCBI's taxonomy places the organism in Eukaryota, Metazoa, Chordata, Mammalia, Primates, Hominidae. The transcript is spliced from 3 exons.